This 460-nucleotide ribosomal RNA is filed under the name uncultured bacterium. RNAcentral describes it as "partial 16S ribosomal RNA". It matches the Rfam family "Bacterial small subunit ribosomal RNA", at positions 338 to 795 of the family's 1533-position model. The record is from RNAcentral.
CCUACGGGAGGCUGCAGUGAGGAAUAUUGGUCAAUGGACGAGAGUCUGAACCAGCCAAGUAGCGUGAAGGAUGACUGCCCUAUGGGUUGUAAACUUCUUUUAUAUGGGAAUAAAACGUUCCACGUGUGGGAUUUUGUAUGUACCAUAUGAAUAAGGAUCGGCUAACUCCGUGCCAGCAGCCGCGGUAAUACGGAGGAUCCGAGCGUUAUCCGGAUUUAUUGGGUUUAAAGGGAGCGUAGGUGGAUUGUUAAGUCAGUUGUGAAAGUUUGCGGCUCAACCGUAAAAUUGCAGUUGAAACUGGCAGUCUUGAGUACAGUAGAGGUAGGCGGAAUUCGUGGUGUAGCGGUGAAAUGCUUAGAUAUCACGAAGAACACCGAUUGCGAAGGCAGUUCACUGGACUGCAACUGACACUGAGGCGCGAAAGUGUGGGUAUCAAACAGGAUUAGAUACCCUUGUAGUC